UUAUGUAUUAGUAUAAUAUUAGAAAUCAAAAGAGUUUUUUUUUUCUUUCGAAAACCUUUGCGACUGUGAAGCCGAUUGAAACUGUUCAUGCCACCUCCUUCUUCCGCCAUGGCGCCAUCGCCGGUUACGAUUCCUCCAGAUCCGGGAAUCCCCCAGGAUCUGCUCUUCCUCCCGAGUCUAGAAGUUUCUCCACGCCUUGUGGAUACUGUUAUGCUCGACGCUCCUCCCCUGUCAUCUGCCGGGGUUCCUUCCCCAUCUGCUAAUGGGGUGUCUUCUCAGGUCUCGGUACCUGCAGUCUUUUCUUCUCCUACACCAGAUCCGCUUGUUCCUGCAUCCAAUUUGGUUUCUGAGAUUCCACCUGAUGUGUUGUGGUGUGUCGAGGGUUGUCAAGUUUUACCCUAAUUGAAAUCAAUAGCCGCAAGUGCACAGCUGAUC
This 435-nucleotide long non-coding RNA is filed under the name Eutrema salsugineum. RNAcentral's name for it is "long non-coding RNA (ESAL_LNC000759)". Lineage: Eukaryota; Viridiplantae; Streptophyta; Magnoliopsida; Brassicales; Brassicaceae. The record is from RNAcentral.